This 226-nucleotide ribosomal RNA is filed under the name uncultured bacterium. Its description in RNAcentral is "partial 16S ribosomal RNA". It matches the Rfam family "Bacterial small subunit ribosomal RNA", at positions 113 to 334 of the family's 1533-position model. The record is from RNAcentral.
CGACGUAGGUAACCUGCUUGGUAGCGGGGGAUAACUAUUGGAAACGAUAGCUAAUACCGCAUAAUAGCAGUUAUUGCAUGAUAACUGUUUGAAAGGUGCAAUUGCAUCACUACCAGAUGGACCUGCGUUGUAUUAGCUAGUUGGUGGGGUAACGGCUCACCAAGGCGACGAUACGUAGCCGACCUGAGAGGGUGAUCGGCCACACUGGGACUGAGACACGGCCCAG